Molecule: long non-coding RNA, 205 nt
Filed under: Mytilus galloprovincialis (Mediterranean mussel)
Lineage: Eukaryota; Metazoa; Mollusca; Bivalvia; Mytilida; Mytilidae
Source: RNAcentral
GGCCGUCUUCCCUUCUAUGAAAGAGGCCGGUCUUAGUUUAAACCAGUCUGUCCACCUCCUCUCUACUGUUGUUGUACCCCUGGUUUAGAAGAGCAGUACCGCACAAUAUGGCCUAUCUUAUGACAGUAAUGACAUAUCGGCUUUCCAUCUUUUGACCUCAUGUUUAAACCACUUCCUCUAGGAUUUCCUUGUGCGAGCUUGGUUG